ACUGCUCAGUAACACGUAGUUAACCUAACCUAUGGAUGGGGAUAACCUCGGGAAACUGAGAAUAAUCCCCGAUAGAUCACAAUGCCUGGAAUGGUUUGUGAUUCAAGUGAUUUAUCGCCGUAGGAUGGGACUGCGGCCUAUUAGCUAGUUGGUGAGGUAAUGGCCCACCAAGGCUAUAACAGGUACGGGCUCUGAGAGGAGGGGCCCGGAGAUGGGUACUGAGACACGGACCCAGGCCCUAUGGGGCGCAGCAGGCGAGAAACCUUUGCAAUGUGCGAAAGCACGACAAGGUUAAUCCGAGUGUCUUCUGCUAAAGAAGUCUUUUGUUAGUCAUAGAACCACUGAUGAAUAAGGGGUGGGCAAGUUCUGGUGUCAGCCGCCGCGGUAAAACCAGCACCUCGAGUGGUCAGGAGGUUUAUUGGGCCUAAAGCAUCCGUAGCCGGUUGUUUAAGUUUUCGGUUAAAUCUAUGCGCUUAACGUAUAGGCUGCCGAAAAUACUGGACAGCUAGGGAGUGGGAGAGGUACACGGUACUCAAUAGGAAGGGGUAAAAUCCUUUGAUCUGUUGAUGACCACCUGUGGCGAAGGCGGUGUACCAGAACACGUUCAACGGUGAGGGAUGAAAGCUGGGGGAGCAAACCGGAUUAGAUACCCGGGUAGUCCCAGCUGUAAACGAUGCAAACUCGGUGAUGCAUUGGCUUGUGGCCAAUGCAGUGCCGCAGGGAAGCCGUUAAGUUUGCCGCCUGGGAAGUACGUACGCAAGUAUGAAACUUAAAGGAAUUGGCGGGGGAGCAC
RNAcentral lists this ribosomal RNA (793 nucleotides) under uncultured archaeon. RNAcentral's name for it is "bacterial SSU rRNA". It matches the Rfam family "Archaeal small subunit ribosomal RNA", at positions 85 to 879 of the family's 1478-position model. The record is from RNAcentral.